Ochotona curzoniae (black-lipped pika) is the source of this 1605-nucleotide long non-coding RNA. RefSeq lists it as uncharacterized. The record is from RefSeq and is a predicted model, not a curated record. The transcript is spliced from 3 exons. Lineage: Eukaryota; Metazoa; Chordata; Mammalia; Lagomorpha; Ochotonidae.
UUACCCUUAUCCUGCUCAACGGGCUCUGGUCGUCCGGCCGCGAAGAGAGGGAAGACCAGAGGACCACCAGCCCCAGGAAGCUUCCCACUAUCAGCAGACUGCGAUUUCCACAAAGCAUUUGAAGGAAGAAUCUCAAUGAAGAGCAUGGUUCCUGAAGUGUAGACUGGUUUCUAGUUUUCUGUGAGGUGCCCACCUGAGGGAGAGAGAGAGAGGCAAAUACAGCUCCUGUCUACUUAUUUACUCCCUAAAUGGCAACAACAGCCAGGGCUGGACCAGAGCUAAAGCCAAGGGCCUGAAACAGUGCAGGUCUCCCACGCAAAGCAGGAACCCUACUGUUUGAGCCGUCAUUGCCACCUUUGAGGGUCUGUGCAAUCAGGAGCUGCAGUCAGGAGCCAGGAAGCAAACCCAGGUACUCUGAUGUGGAAUGAGGGAAUCUUAACCACUAAACUAAAUAUCCGCCUCCGGUGUAAGUUUUGCUAACCUCAGAACUCUUACCACUAACAUCUUUGCCAAACUGGACUAGCCUUCCAGGCCUGCAAUAUAAAUAAGUGCUUCCAGACAGGAUGCAAAAAGUCAGGGAAUUAAAGAUUUGUUUUCUUUUUUUAAAAAAAAAAAUUCCUGUGUCAGUUCUGCCGUGGGAGAACCCACUGUAAGGAUUUGUGCCCAUUCUUGGACUGCACUCCCCUGGGCUCUCACCAGCUUCCUCUAUGCUGCAGCCAAACCUUUCGAAGUGUAACUCAGCUUGCCUUUAGACCUUUGUAAAGGGAGUUCUUUUUGCCUGAAAUACCUUCUGAUGCCUUAACAUUCAGCUUAGAUGUCAGUUACAAAAAGCUCUUUUCCUAGAGUUUCCCUCAUCAUUCCCCAUCAAUGUACUGGGCUGGGUCCCCUACCAGGUGCUUCCUCUGAGCAUAUGCUUUUCCUUCCCUGUUAAUUAUCACUGCACUGUAACCUUCUUCUACUCCCACAUAAAAAGGCACAUGAAGGUACAGCCUAUUAUAUCCCCGUGGCUGCUGUGGAGAAAGGGUUCAAUAAAUAGUUUCUGAUGGGUUGCUAAGUAAUUGGGUUGAGAAUAUAAAAGGAAGAAACUUUGAAGAGAGGUCAGGGGUUGCUCAAGUGUCAUUCCUCUACCUGGAUGUUUUUACAAAGAAAAAAUACUUAAGGUUUUCUUUCACUAGAAAUGUGAUUAUUUUGCACAUGUUCAUCAUCAUCAACAGAGAUGCUACUGUUUCUUCCUGAUUCAGCAUCCUACGAGGGACUAAAGAGAAAGUGAUAGUUUUAAUUUAAAUUCAGAUGCUUGUAUACCCUGAGAUUUAAUCUUUUUUAAAGUAUUGAAAUGGGAACAUGCAGCUAAGAGCAAUACUCUUUGCAGCCACAUUUCAACUACAUCUAGUUGCCAAGUACUGAGGUUAAAUUAGAAUCGGUGACCUAUAAAUUUUAAGUUAAGUACCCUGUUAGCUAUUCCAUAAGCCACUUAAUCACCUCUUCUUCUAGAAGGAAGGGAUCACCAAUAGUAAUAUUUUAAAGUCAAGAUGUUUAGAAAAGAAAUACUAUUUAUGUGUCAAGGGGAGUGUGGUUUAUUAAGAAUAUACUGAUUUUAUAUAGUGU